RNAcentral lists this ribosomal RNA (765 nucleotides) under Saccothecium widdringtoniae. RNAcentral's name for it is "partial large subunit ribosomal RNA". It matches the Rfam family "Eukaryotic large subunit ribosomal RNA", at positions 84 to 867 of the family's 3401-position model. Lineage: Eukaryota; Fungi; Ascomycota; Dothideomycetes; Dothideales; Saccotheciaceae. The record is from RNAcentral.
UAACGGCGAGUGAAGCGGCAACAGCUCAAAUUUGAAAGCUGGCCUUCGGGUCCGCAUUGUAAUUUGUAGAGGAUGCUUUGGGGCAGCCGCCUGUCUAAGUUCCUUGGAACAGGACGUCAUAGAGGGUGAGAAUCCCGUAUGUGACAGGACAUGGCACCCUAUGUAAAGCUCCUUCGACGAGUCGAGUUGUUUGGGAAUGCAGCUCUAAAUGGGAGGUAAAUUUCUUCUAAAGCUAAAUACCGGCGAGAGACCGAUAGCGCACAAGUAGAGUGAUCGAAAGAUGAAAAGCACUUUGGAAAGAGAGUUAAAAAGCACGUGAAAUUGUUGAAAGGGAAGCGCUUGCAAUCAGACUUGUCUUUGGCUGUUCGGCCGGUCUUCUGACCGGUUUACUCAGCCAGGGACAGGCCAGCAUCAGUUUCGGCGGUCGGAUAAAGGCCUUGGGAAUGUGGCUCUGCCUUCGGGUAGAGUGUUAUAGCCCAGGGUGUAAUACGGCCAGCCGGGACUGAGGUCCGCGCUUCGGCUAGGAUGCUGGCGUAAUGGUUGUAAGCGACCCGUCUUGAAACACGGACCAAGGAGUCUAACAUCUAUGCGAGUGUUCGGGUGUCAAACCCCUACGCGUAAUGAAAGUGAACGGAGGUGAGAACCGCAAGGUGCAUCAUCGACCGAUCCUGAUGUCUUCGGAUGGAUUUGAGUAAGAGCAUAGCUGUUGGGACCCGAAAGAUGGUGAACUAUGCCUGAAUAGGGUGAAGCCAGAGGAAACUCUGG